GAUGAACGCUGGCGGCGUGCCUAAUACAUGCAAGUCGAGCGAACAGACGAGGAGCUUGCUCCUCUGACGUUAGCGGCGGACGGGUGAGUAACACGUGGAUAACCUACCUAUAAGACUGGGAUAACUUCGGGAAACCGGAGCUAAUACCGGAUAAUAUAUUGAACCGCAUGGUUCAAUAGUGAAAGACGGUUUUGCUUUCACUUAUAGAUGGAUCCGCGCCGCAUUAGCUAGUUGGUAAGGUAACGGCUUACCAAGGCGACGAUGCGUAGCCGACCUGAGAGGGUGAUCGGCCAAACGGGAACUGAGACACGGUCCAGACUCCUACGGGAGGAAGCAGAAGGGAAUCUUCCGAAAUGGGCGAAAGCAUGACGGAGCAACGCCGCGUGAGUGAUGAAGGUCUUCGGAUCGUAAAACUCUGUUAUUAGGGAAGAACAAAUGUGUAAGUAAAUAUGCACGUAUUGACGGUAACUAAUCAGAAAGCCACGGCUAACUACGUG
RNAcentral lists this ribosomal RNA (497 nucleotides) under uncultured bacterium. RNAcentral describes it as "partial 16S ribosomal RNA". It matches the Rfam family "Bacterial small subunit ribosomal RNA", at positions 28 to 507 of the family's 1533-position model. The record is from RNAcentral.